This 220-nucleotide ribosomal RNA is filed under the name uncultured bacterium. Its description in RNAcentral is "partial 16S ribosomal RNA". It matches the Rfam family "Bacterial small subunit ribosomal RNA", at positions 116 to 334 of the family's 1533-position model. The record is from RNAcentral.
CGUGGAUAACCUGCCUCGAAGUGGGGGAUAACACCGGGAAACCGGUGCUAAUACCGCAUACCCUGAUGAGAUCUGCGGAUUUUGUCAGUAAAGGAGCAAUUCGCUUUGAGAGGGGUCCGCGGCUGAUUAGCUAGUUGGUGAGGUAAUGGCUCACCAAGGCAUCGAUCAGUAGCCGGUCUGAGAGGACGGUCGGCCACACUGGAACUGAGACACGGUCCAG